UUUCCAGACUCCUACGGGAGGCAGCAGUGGGGAAUAUUGCACAAUGGGGGGAAACCCUGAUGCAGCGACGCCGCGUGAGCGGAGAAGUAUUUCGGUAUGUAAAGCUCUAUCAGCAGGGAAGAAAUUGACGGUACCUGAGUAAGAAGCUCCGGCUAAAUACGUGCCAGCAGCCGCGGUAAUACGUAUGGAGCAAGCGUUAUCCGGAUUUACUGGGUGUAAAGGGAGCGUAGGCGGCCUGCCAAGUCUGAUGUGAAAUACCGGGGCUCAACCCCGGGGCUGCAUUGGAAACUGGCAGGCUGGAGUGUCGGAGAGGCAGGCGGAAUUCCUAGUGUAGCGGUGAAAUGCGUAGAUAUUAGGAGGAACACCAGUGGCGAAGGCGGUCUGCUGGACAGCAACUGACGCUGAGGCGCGAAAGCGUGGGGAGCAAACAGGAUUAGAUACCCGUGUA
Molecule: ribosomal RNA, 448 nt
Filed under: uncultured bacterium
Lineage: Bacteria
Description: partial 16S ribosomal RNA
Rfam family: Bacterial small subunit ribosomal RNA
Source: RNAcentral